GGCGAACCGUGCGAACGUUGUUCGGAAUCACUGGGCUUAAAGGGCGCGUAGGCGGGCUGACAAGUCUGGGGUGAAAUGCCGCGGCUCAACCGUGGAACUGCCUUAGAUACUGUCGGCCUCGAGGAAGGUAGGGGCAUGCGGAACUGUAGGUGGAGCGGUGAAAUGCGUUGAUAUCUACAGGAACUCCGGUGGCGAAAGCGGCGUGCUGGACCUUUUCUGACGCUGAGGCGCGAAAGCUAGGGGAGCAAACGGG
RNAcentral lists this ribosomal RNA (253 nucleotides) under uncultured bacterium. RNAcentral describes it as "partial 16S ribosomal RNA". It matches the Rfam family "Bacterial small subunit ribosomal RNA", at positions 524 to 776 of the family's 1533-position model. The record is from RNAcentral.